GGGUCCGUAGCUCAGUCUGGCAGAGCACCGGGCUUUUAACCCGGCCGUCGUGGGUUCAAAUCCCACCGGACCCG
RNAcentral lists this transfer RNA (74 nucleotides) under Nanohaloarchaea archaeon H12. RNAcentral describes it as "tRNA-Lys". It matches the Rfam family "tRNA". From Rfam's summary of the family: Transfer RNA (tRNA) molecules are approximately 80 nucleotides in length. Their secondary structure includes four short double-helical elements and three loops (D, anti-codon, and T loops). Further hydrogen bonds mediate the characteristic L-shaped molecular structure. tRNAs have two regions of fundamental functional importance: the anti-codon, which is responsible for specific mRNA codon recognition, and the 3' end, to which the tRNAs corresponding amino acid is attached (by aminoacyl-tRNA synthetases). tRNAs cope with the degeneracy of the genetic code in two manners: having more than one tRNA (with a specific anti-codon) for a particular amino acid; and 'wobble' base-pairing, i.e. permitting non-standard base-pairing at the 3rd anti-codon position. Lineage: Archaea; Methanobacteriati; Methanobacteriota; Candidatus Nanohaloarchaea. The record is from RNAcentral. RNAcentral also lists the same sequence under 3 other names.